GAUGAACGCUGGCGGCGUGCCUAAUACAUGCAAGUCGAGCGAACGGACGAGAAGCUUGCUUCUCUGAUGUUAGCGGCGGACGGGUGAGUAACACGUGGAUAACCUACCUAUAAGACUGGGAUAACUUCGGGAAACCGUAGCUAAUACCGGAUAAUAUUUUGAACCGCAUGGUUCAAAAGUGAAAGACGGUCCUGCUGUCACUUAUAGAUGGAUCCGCGCUGCAUUAGCUAGUUGGUAAGGUAACGGCUUACCAAGGCAACGAUGCAUAGCCGACCUGAGAGGGUGAUCGGCCACCCUGGAACUGAGACACGGUCCAGACUCCUACGGGAGGCAGCAGUAGGGAAUCUUCCGCAAUGGGCGAAAGCCUGACGGAGCAACGCCGCGUGAGUGAUGAAGGUCUUCGGAUCGUAAAACUCUGUUAUUAGGGAAGAACAUAUGUGUAAGUAACUGUGCACAUCUUGACGGUACCUAAUCAGAAAGCCACGGCUAACUACGUG
This 497-nucleotide ribosomal RNA is filed under the name uncultured bacterium. RNAcentral describes it as "partial 16S ribosomal RNA". It matches the Rfam family "Bacterial small subunit ribosomal RNA", at positions 28 to 507 of the family's 1533-position model. The record is from RNAcentral.